RNAcentral lists this ribosomal RNA (487 nucleotides) under uncultured bacterium. RNAcentral describes it as "bacterial SSU rRNA". It matches the Rfam family "Bacterial small subunit ribosomal RNA", at positions 29 to 507 of the family's 1533-position model. The record is from RNAcentral.
AUUGAACGCUGGCGGAAUGCUUUACACAUGCAAGUCGAGCGGCAGCGCGGGGGCAACCCUGGCGGCGAGCGGCGAACGGGUGAGUAACAUAUCGGAACGUACCCAGUCGUGGGGGAUAACUAUCCGAAAGGAUAGCUAAUACCGCAUACGUCCUGAGGGAGAAAGCGGGGGAUCGCAAGACCUCGCGCGAUUGGAGCGGCCGAUAUCGGAUUAGCUAGUUGGUGGGGUAAAGGCUCACCAAGGCGACGAUCCGUAGCGGGUCUGAGAGGACGACCCGCCACACUGGAACUGAGACACGGUCCAGACUCCUACGGGAGGCAGCAGGUGGGGUAAUUUUGGACAAUGGGGGGCAACCCUGAUCCGGCCAUUCCGCGUGAGUGAAGAAGGCCUUCGGGUUGUAAAGCUCUUUCAGCAGGAACGAAACGGUGGUCCCUAAUACGGACUACUAAUGACGGUACCUGAAGAAGAAGCACCGGCUAACUACGUG